CCCUUAGAUGUUCUGGGCCGCACGCGCGCUACACUGACACACUCAACAAGCUUAUAACCUUGUCCGAGAGGUCUGGGAAAUCUUUGAAUAUGUGUCGUGAUGGGGAUAGAUCGUUGCAAUUCUCGAUCUUCAACGAGGAAUUCCUAGUAAACGCAAGUCAUCAGCUUGCAUUGAAUACGUCCCUGCCCUUUGUACACACCGCCCGUCGCACCUACCGAUUGAAUGGUCCGGUGAAAUCUUCGGACUCUGUGUUUAUUGAUUCGUUUCAAUUUACUACUGGAGAAAGUUGAGUAAACCUUACCAUUUAGAGGAAGGUGAAGUCGUAACA
This 328-nucleotide ribosomal RNA is filed under the name uncultured eukaryote. RNAcentral's name for it is "partial 18S ribosomal RNA". It matches the Rfam family "Eukaryotic small subunit ribosomal RNA", at positions 1470 to 1796 of the family's 1831-position model. The record is from RNAcentral.